Molecule: long non-coding RNA, 2007 nt
Organism: Diceros bicornis minor
Lineage: Eukaryota; Metazoa; Chordata; Mammalia; Perissodactyla; Rhinocerotidae
Exons: 3
Source: RefSeq, a predicted model, not a curated record
ACAAGCAGUGCGUCAGUGCGCGCCUGGGAUCCGAACCCGGGCGGCCAGUAGCGGAGCGCGCGCACUUAACCACUAAGCCACCAGGCUGGCCCCAAGAAAGGGAAACUUUUACUUCAUUGGUGAUAAGGAGAAUGCAUGACACCAUUCCUAUAGAUUAAAACAAUCUUGAGAAGGCAGAGCUUGUUUUAUUUUUAGUUCUCCACCUUCUCUUUGGCAUGAAAAAUAGGUCUGAGAGUGUUUGUUUUUAUACCCAUUUACUUUUCUGUUUUAUCUAAGAUUCUGAGAUGAUCUGACAGUAUAUCCUAACCAGCUAGAAACAGCAAUUUUCUCAUUUUCUACAUAGACAAGUUAUCUGUGUUUUAAUCUCACUGGCAAAGAACCUUUUCACAUUCAAAGGAUACAGAGGACCACACAGAGAGUGAUAAAUGCUGAGAGAAUAACUCGUGGAAUUCCAACUUUUCGUCCUUCAUUCUUGAUGUUGACUUUGAGUGUCAAUGCAGCCUGGAUCCAGCAGGUCAACGUGCCAAAUCCAAAGGUCAGGGAAGUUCCAACAUUAUGGAUUUCUUCAUCAUUCGUGAGCUAUGGGAUGAACAGAUAAUGACGUGUGGAGGCCCAUUUGGAGAAGACAUACAAGCCAAUGGAAUACAUGAGGGAGAAAGACUAGAUAUUCCAGAAAGUGUUCCUCAUUCAUGGUUUUGAAUACUUGUGCUUCACCAGAACAUCCCAAUCUCUGGGAUUCUUCUAGGACUUUAGUAAAGAACAAAACACCUACUCAGUAACUUCCAUCCCACCCCUGCUUGAGGGAAAUGACAGGUAUUGAGCACUUUACAACAUGCCAGCACCUGCAGCACAGACAGUGUUGUUCUCCGAGUUUCCAAAAAACAAGGUCAGCUCUGACAGACGGGCUUAGGAGAACACCGCAGAGGCUGGACACACAACAAAUAAGACGGGCAUAGACAGCCCACGGUAAGAGAAUUCCCCGAUUCGGUCAUCCUUGAGUUUAACGGUGUUAGAACACACAGGGCAGGAAACACGGGAAGGAAGACAAAGUUCCCCAUCUCGACAAACCUGCUGGUCCCUGUGUGAGAAAUCAUUCCUGGGAUAGGAGAAGACAAAGGCCAGUGGGCAAAGCCCUUCAUUACUGCUUUACUCCCACUGCCCUCUGAUUCUACCUGGGGGAGUUCACGGUCAAAGGACAAAGAUGGGUAAUCCAAAUUAGAGCAGUUACAGUAACCAAAAUAUGAAAUCUGAUAGCAGAUUUGGGGGGUUGGUAUGCACUAAAAAUCAUACUGAUUAUAUUGAGAAAGCUCAAUUCUUCCACAUGAUAUUAAUUACUCAUUUUAAAAGACCACUCUAUCUUUUGAAGCAAAUUGUUCUCGAAGAAUCUGAAGAGAGAAUGAAGGAAGUUACCUAGAUUUCAAACCCUGCUUCUAAAAGUAACCUUGAGGACAGUCCAUACUCAAGCCUCUAAUAUAAGAAUCCUCUUUUAUUAAUGCUUAGUGCAGGGCUAUUUUCAUAUUCAUACAAAUAGCUGGGAGAGGUUAGUGUACACAGGAUAAAAAAAGCACUUGCAGUUAAUAUAAAUUAUAUCUACAUAUAAGGAAAUGCAGUUACUACUUCCUAAGACAAUUUAUUCUGACAUUAAGGUUUAGCAUGGAAGACAAUUAGAAAUUCAAGAAUUACCCUAUUUAUACAGCAAUUAAGUAGGUAAUUAUUUGCUAAAGGUUUUACCUUGAUUAAGGCCAUUAUUAGUAGCCAUUAAAAAAGAAGACCCAUCCAUAAAUUUGCAUUUCCCAAGUAUGCUGAAUUGCAUAGUUUCAAGCUAUGAAGAUAAGCUCAGUGAGUUGACUUUCAGUUUCAAGUACUUCUGAUCAAAGAGUGGUAUAUAACUUGGCUAAUAUUUGGAUUUGGGAAACAAAAUGGAAAUAAACCAUAAUUCAUGAAAUCUCACAUUGUUCAGCUCUGAUUUAGCUUUUAGCAUAUUUAUGUUUCAGCUAAUGCCCACUA